This is a long non-coding RNA of Sebastes umbrosus (honeycomb rockfish), 463 nucleotides long. RefSeq lists it as uncharacterized. The record is from RefSeq and is a predicted model, not a curated record. Lineage: Eukaryota; Metazoa; Chordata; Actinopteri; Perciformes; Sebastidae. The transcript is spliced from 3 exons.
CCAGGAUAAUUAUGAGCUUCAUUGUUUUAAUAAGAGUCUCGGUCAGCCCGGAUCUCUGCUACAUCUUCACAGUUCCCAGAGGGAAAUAUAUGAGGGCAGCACCAGCGCCGGACAGAUGGAAUCAGACGCACUGCAGGUGGUCGGUCUACUUACCUGUUGUGAUACGACAGGUGAUCCACUCUGCAUCUCCCAAAUAACCAACUAAAGAAACCUUAAGACAUCUUUUUAGCCUGGAUUUUACUUAAGCAAUUUGGGCUGCAUGACUGUAUGAAAGGUGUUAUAUGAAUAAAGUUGAGUUGAGAGACGUCAAAGUCGCCCCAAUGAACGCCCCGCCACAUCCACGACCAACAGAAGAUUUUGAGCAGAAAUCCAAAAUCUAUAAAUGAUUUCUUUAUAUCACAUUUAUUCCCUCCUGUUACAUUCCGUGUAAAUUCUGUUUAUUUUGUCGGCCGCGGUUUGUUAU